GACGAACGCUGGCGGCGUGCUUAACACAUGCAAGUCGAACGGUGAAGGGGUCUGCUUUUGUGGGCCCUGGAUGAGUGGCGAACGGGUGAGUAACACGUGAGUAACCUGCCCCCUUCUUCUGGAUAACCGCAUGAAAGUGUGGCUAAUACGGGAUAUUCUGGGUCUGUCGCAUGAUGGGUCUGGGAAAGAUUGCGCCUUUGGGUGUUUUUGGUGGGGGAUGGGCUCGCGGCCUAUCAGCUUGUUGGUGGGGUGAUGGCCUACCAAGGCGGUGACGGGGAGCCGGCCGGGGAGGGGGGACGGUCAGACUGGGACUGAGACACGGCCCAGACUGCUACGGGAGGCAGCAGUGUGGAAUAUUGCACAAUGGGCGCAAGCCUGAUGCAGCGACGCCGCGUGAGGGAGGGAGGCCUUCGGGUUGUAAACCUCUUUCGCAAGUGAAGCAGGCCUGCUCCUUGUGGGUGGGUUGACGGUAGCUGGAGAAGAAGCGCCGGCUAACUACGUG
This 502-nucleotide ribosomal RNA is filed under the name uncultured bacterium. RNAcentral describes it as "partial 16S ribosomal RNA". It matches the Rfam family "Bacterial small subunit ribosomal RNA", at positions 28 to 507 of the family's 1533-position model. The record is from RNAcentral.